UGGAUUCGACCUGGGAGUUUGAUCCUGGCUCAGAACGAACGCUGGCGGCGCGCCUAAUACAUGCAAGUCGAACGAGAAUGUGUAGCAAUACACAUGUACAGUGGCGAACGGGUGAGGAUUACAUGGGUAACCUACCCUCGAGUGGGGAAUAACCAGCCGAAAGGUUGGCUAAUACCGCGUACGCUUCCGGAACUGCGGUUUCGGAAGGAAAGCGAUACCGUGGGUAUCGCGCUCUUGGAUGGGCUCAUGCCCUAUCAGCUUGUUGGUGAGGUAACGGCUCACCAAGGCUUCGACGGGUAGCUGAUCUGAGAGGAUGAUCAGCCACACUGGCACUGCGACACGGGCCAGACUCCUACGGGAGGCAGCAGUAAGGAAUAUUGCGCAAUGGGCGAAAGCCUGACGCAGCGACGCCGCGUGGGGGAUGAAGGUCUUCGGAUUGUAAACCCCUUUCGGGAGGGAAGAUGGGAUGGGGUAACCCAUUCGGACGGUACCUCCAGAAGCAGCCACGGCUAACUUCGUGCCAGCAGCCGCGGUAAUACGAAGGUGGCAAGCGUUGUUCGGAUUUACUGGGCGUACAGGGAGCGUAGGCGGUUGGAUAAGCCCUCCGUGAAAUCUCCAGGCUUAACCUGGAAAGUGCAGAGGGGACUGUUCAGCUAGAGGAUGGGAGAGGAGCGCGGAAUUCCCGGUGUAGCGGUGAAAUGCGUAGAGAUCGGGAGGAAGGCCGGUGGCGAAGGCGGCGCUCUGGAACAUUUCUGACGCUGAGGCUCGAAAGCGUGGGGAGCAAACAGGAUUAGAUACCCUGGUAGUCCACGCCUUAAACGAUGGAUACUAAGUGUCGGCGGGUUACCGCCGGUGCCGCAGCUAACGCAGUAAGUAUCCCCCCUGGGAAGUACGGCCGCAAGGUUGAAACUCAAAUGAACUGAC
Molecule: ribosomal RNA, 924 nt
Filed under: uncultured bacterium
Lineage: Bacteria
Description: bacterial SSU rRNA
Rfam family: Bacterial small subunit ribosomal RNA
Source: RNAcentral